Molecule: long non-coding RNA, 1290 nt
Filed under: Durio zibethinus
Lineage: Eukaryota; Viridiplantae; Streptophyta; Magnoliopsida; Malvales; Malvaceae
Description: long non-coding RNA (DZIB_LNC000970)
Source: RNAcentral
UAAUAGUAUACAUUACAUUAUCAUUCUACAUAGCAAGAAACUUGGUCAACAUAAGGGUUAACAAAGAUCAGUUGGGUCAAAGAUGACAUUUGAACCAAACCUCCCUUAAUCAGAUAUUUGAGCUUAGAAAUUAAGUAGAAAAACGUUGCUUUUCAUUCAUUUUUGUUUUCAGCAAGGCCUAAAUUCUUAAUAAUAAUAAUUAAUUAAUAAUAUAAUGAAAUGAAAUCGAAGGCUAAAACCUUAAAAAAAAAAAUCCACGUGUCAACAUCUUGAAGAUGGUGGUGGGACAACUUGAUCUUCCCCUAGACGUAUGGUCAAAGCAACAUUUUUAAUUUUCCUUGAAGGUAUGUACUUUACCAUAUACUAUUAUUAUUCUUCUUAGUAAGAGUAACAUAAUUAGAUUAGCUCAUGAAGAUUCAAGAUGCCGGUAACCGAAUUUUUUUCAAAAAUUCAAGAUUUUAUUAAUAAAUUACACAAUUAUCGUUGUUAAUAACAAAUUAUACAAUAUGAUUUUGAUUAUCAAAUUAUCAAAAUACAUAUAAUGACAAUGAGUGCCACGUAUUCACAAGCAAAAUCUUGUCUCUGUCUCACGGUAGAUGCAAAGCCUACGUCCCCUUUUCAAAUCUUUUCCAUAUUCCACAAUUGUUGUUGGGUCUUCUAAAUUAAUGUUUGGUAAAAUUAAUAACUCUAACAGCAACCCCACUUCCUUCUUUCCUCCACCUUCCCUACCUCCCUACAAUCUCGUCCCCGGUCUCGUGGAUCUGCGGAAUAUCUAGUGUUUCUCUCCAUCAAGGCUGAAUAAAACAAUAUGCUGCCAAGUGUCCUUGAUGAUCGUCUAAUGCGAGUUUGUCUGUCACCUAAAAUCUUUUAUGUAUUUAAUUCAUUAUUAAUUGAAUUCGGUCUACUAAUAAUUUUUGUUUUAGUCUCUUUUGUACUAAUUCUUUUUCGUUGAUAUAGGGAAUUAAAUUUUUUUUUUAUAUAUAUGUGAAGUUUUCCUAUCUCAAUAAUUAAUGUUAUACUUUGAUUUUUCUCUAAAUUAGAAAAAAUCUAUACCCGCCAUGUAUAUGGAAGAAAGAAAGAGGAUACUAGAUUUACAAAUUUCUUUAAUUUUUUCAUGAUAACAGUUUUUUCUUAGAAAAUUUUCAUUAAAAAAUUAAGACUUGAAUGAAAUUUUUUUAUGUAAAAUUUAUGAAGUUUUUAAAUUAAAAACAAUCAAAUGAAAACAAUAAUAAAAAUUUUAAAUCGAUAGAUUGAAAAUAUUAAAAAAAUGUUAGAAAAAUAUUGAAAUUU